GCCUCUGUAGCUCAGUUGGUUAGAGCGCUGCACCGGAAUCGCAGGACGUAGGUUCAAUUCCUACCAGAGGAC
This 72-nucleotide transfer RNA is filed under the name Paramuricea clavata. It matches the Rfam family "tRNA". From Rfam's summary of the family: Transfer RNA (tRNA) molecules are approximately 80 nucleotides in length. Their secondary structure includes four short double-helical elements and three loops (D, anti-codon, and T loops). The record is from Rfam by way of RNAcentral. Lineage: Eukaryota; Metazoa; Cnidaria; Anthozoa; Malacalcyonacea; Plexauridae.